This 253-nucleotide ribosomal RNA is filed under the name uncultured bacterium. RNAcentral describes it as "partial 16S ribosomal RNA". It matches the Rfam family "Bacterial small subunit ribosomal RNA", at positions 524 to 776 of the family's 1533-position model. The record is from RNAcentral.
UACAGAGGGUGCGAGCGUUAAUCGGAAUUAUUGGGCGUAAAGAGCUCGUAGGCGGUUUGUCGCGUCUGUCGUGAAAGCUUGGGGCUUAACCCCAAGUCUGCGGUGGAUACGGGCAGACUAGAGGCAGGUAGGGGAGAACGGAAUUCCCGGUGUAGCGGUGAAAUGCGCAGAUAUCGGGAGGAACACCGGUGGCGAAGGCGGUUCUCUGGGCCUGUACUGACGCUGAGGAGCGAAAGCGUGGGGAGCGAACAGG